RNAcentral lists this ribosomal RNA (498 nucleotides) under uncultured bacterium. RNAcentral describes it as "partial 16S ribosomal RNA". It matches the Rfam family "Bacterial small subunit ribosomal RNA", at positions 30 to 523 of the family's 1533-position model. The record is from RNAcentral.
AUUGAACGCUGGCGGCAUGCCUUACACAUGCAAGUCGAACGGUAACAGGUCUUCGGAUACUGACGAGUGGCGAACGGGUGAGUAAUACAUCGGAACAUGCCUAGUAGUGGGGGAUAACUACUCGAAAGAGUGGCUAAUACCGCAUGAGAUCUACGGAUGAAAGCAGGGGAUCGCAAGACCUUGUGCUACUAGAGCGGCCGAUGGCAGAUUAGGUAGUUGGUGGGAUAAAAGCUUACCAAGCCGACGAUCUUUAGCUGGUCUGAGAGGACGAUCAGCCACACUGGGACUGAGACACGGCCCAGACUCCUACGGGAGGCAGCAGUGGGGAAUUUUGGACAAUGGGCGCAAGCCUGAUCCAGCAAUGCCGCGUGCAGGAUGAAGGCCUUCGGGUUGUAAACUGCUUUUGUACGGAACGAAAAGCCCCGGGUUAAUACCCUGGGGUCAUGACAGUACCGUAAGAAUAAGCACCGGCUAACUACGUGCCAGCCGCCGCCGUAA